GUGCCAGCAGCCGCGGUAAUACGGAGGGUGCAAGCGUUGUCCGGAUUUAUUGGGUUUAAAGGGUGCGUAGGCGGCCUAUUAAGUCAGUGGUGAAAGCCCAUAGCUCAACUAUGGAACUGCCAUUGAUACUGAUAGGCUUGAGUACAGACGAGGGUGGCGGAAUUGAUGCUGUAGCGGUGAAAUGCAUAGAUAGCAUCAAGAACACCGAUUGCGUAGGCAGCUAACUAGGCUGUAACUGACGCUGAGGCACGAAAAGCGUGGGGAGCGAACAGGAUUAGAUACCCUGGUAGUCCACGCCGUAAACGAUGAUUACUCGAUGUUGGAGAUAAACUGUCAGCGUCUUAGCGAAAGCAUUAAGUAAUCCACCUGGGGAGUACGCCCGCAAGGGUGAAACUCUCAGGAAUUGACGGGGGCCCGCACAAGCGCGGAGCAUGUGGUUUAAUUCGAUGAUACGCGAGGAACCUUACCUAGGCUAGAAUGCGCGUGACCGAUCCAGAGAUGGAUCUUCCCUUCGGCGCACAAAGCAAGAGCUGCAUGCUGUCGUCAGCUCGCUCGUGAGUGUUGGGUUGAGUCCGCAACGAGCGCAACCCAUAUCUUUUACUUGCCAGCACAUUAUUGUUGGGGACUCUAAAGAGACUGCAUGCGCGAGCACUAACCGAGGUAGGGAUGACGUCAGUCAUCAUGUCCUGUACGCUUAGGGCUAGACUAGUGCUACGAUGAACUGUACAGAGAGUCGCUAUCGUCGUAACAGGAUGCGAUCUCAAACACACGAUACUCAGUUCGGAUCGAGGUCUGCAACUCGAACUCGAUUGAAGGUGGAGAUCGGC
This 827-nucleotide ribosomal RNA is filed under the name uncultured bacterium. RNAcentral's name for it is "bacterial SSU rRNA". It matches the Rfam family "Bacterial small subunit ribosomal RNA", at positions 505 to 1335 of the family's 1533-position model. The record is from RNAcentral.